CUCCCGGUAGCUCAAUGGAAAGAGCGGCAGCCUACGAAGCUGCGUCAUGUGGAGGUUCGAAUCCUUCCCGGGAGA
This 75-nucleotide transfer RNA is filed under the name Mycobacterium talmoniae. It matches the Rfam family "tRNA". From Rfam's summary of the family: Transfer RNA (tRNA) molecules are approximately 80 nucleotides in length. Their secondary structure includes four short double-helical elements and three loops (D, anti-codon, and T loops). RNAcentral also lists the same sequence under 1 other name. Lineage: Bacteria; Bacillati; Actinomycetota; Actinomycetes; Mycobacteriales; Mycobacteriaceae. The record is from Rfam by way of RNAcentral.